GAUGAAGAACGUAGCGAAAUGCGAUAAGUAAUGUGAAUUGCAGAAUUCAGUGAAUCAUCGAAUCUUUGAACGCACCUUGCGCCCUUUGGCCAUUCCGAAGGGCAUGCCUGUUUGAGUAUCAUGAACACCUCAACUCUCAUGGCUUGCCAUGAUGAGCUUGGACUUUGGGGGUCUUGCUGGCCUGUGGUCGGCUCCUCUCAAAUGAAUCAGCUUGCCAGUGUUUGGUGGCAUCACAAGUGUGAUAACUAUCUGCGCUCGUGGUUUCCAUCAGAUAACCUCCAGUGAUGGAGGUUCGCUGGAGCUCAUAAAUGUCUCUCCUAAGCGAGGACAGCUCUUUUAAUGUUUGAUCUCAUAUCAGGUAGGACUACCCGCUGAACUUAAGCAUAUCAAUAAGCGGAGGA
RNAcentral lists this unclassified non-coding RNA (401 nucleotides) under soil metagenome. RNAcentral describes it as "partial contains 5.8S ribosomal RNA, internal transcribed spacer 2, and large subunit ribosomal RNA". The stretch from base 1 to 121 matches the Rfam family "5.8S ribosomal RNA", at positions 35 to 154 of the family's 154-position model. The record is from RNAcentral.